Molecule: long non-coding RNA, 304 nt
Filed under: Salmo salar (Atlantic salmon)
Lineage: Eukaryota; Metazoa; Chordata; Actinopteri; Salmoniformes; Salmonidae
Description: lncRNA (ENSSSAG00000085605.1, ENSSSAG00020081954.1, ENSSSAG00075040626.1)
Source: RNAcentral
GGAGGAGCGAUUAACGUGCCUCCAUUCUGGAACCCAGGAGAAUGGCUUGUCAGUCCUACCCUCAAUGGGCUUGUCAAUCAUCCUUACAUUCAGCUUUCACUAGCAGGAAGGAAGCUGCGUUUCGUUCAUGGACUGAAAGACGGUCUCAGCAGGUAUCCUGGCAGGUAGGAGCGUUGGGCCAGUAAGUGAAAGAUUGCUGGAUCGAAUCCCUGAGGCACCGGGGAUUUUGUCGUGAUGCCCCCGAGCAAGGCAGUUAACCCCCAACAACAACUGCUCCCCGGGCACCAAUGAUGUUGAUGAAGGC